AGUUCACGUGGAGCCGUCCUUGAAAUACCACCCUGGUUUGUUUGAGGUUCUAACCUUGGCCCGUGAAUCCGGGUCGGGGACAGUGCAUGGUAGGCAGUUUGACUGGGGCGGUCUCCUCCCAAAGUGUAACGGAGGAGUUCGAAGGUACGCUUGGUACGGUCGGACAUCGUACCUAAAGUGCAAUGGCAAAAGCGUGCUUAACUGCGAGACCGACAAGUCGAGCAGGUGCGAAAGCAGGACAUAGUGAUCCGGUGGUUCUGAAUGGAAGGGCCAUCGCUCAACGGAUAAAAGGUACUCUGGGGAUAACAGGCUGAUACCGCCCAAGAGUUCAUAUCGACGGCGGUGUUUGGCACCUCGAUGUCGGCUCAUCUCAUCCUGGGGCUGUAGCCGGUCCCAAGGGUAUGGCUGUUCGCCAUUUAAAGAGGUACGUGAGCUGGGUUUAAAACGUCGUGAGACAGUUUGGUCCCUAUCUGCCGUGGGCGUUGGAAUCUUGACGGGGGCUGCUCCUAGUACGAGAGGACCGGAGUGGACGUACCGCUGGUGUACCUGUUGUCUCGCCAGAGGCAUCGCAGGGUAGCUAUGUACGGAAGAGAUAACCGCUGAAAGCAUCUAAGCGGGAAACUCGCCUGAAGAUGAGGAUUCCCUGGAGGCUUGACCUCCUUGAAGGGUCGUUCGAGACCAGGACGUUGAUAGGCUGGGUGUGGAAGCGCAGUAAUGCGUUAAGCUAACCAGUACUAAUUGCCCGUAAGGCUUGAUCCU
Molecule: ribosomal RNA, 759 nt
Filed under: Cupriavidus alkaliphilus
Lineage: Bacteria; Pseudomonadati; Pseudomonadota; Betaproteobacteria; Burkholderiales; Burkholderiaceae
Description: partial 23S ribosomal RNA
Rfam family: Bacterial large subunit ribosomal RNA
Source: RNAcentral